This is a long non-coding RNA of Beta vulgaris subsp. vulgaris (sugar beet), 497 nucleotides long. RefSeq lists it as uncharacterized. The record is from RefSeq and is a predicted model, not a curated record. The transcript has 2 exons. Lineage: Eukaryota; Viridiplantae; Streptophyta; Magnoliopsida; Caryophyllales; Amaranthaceae.
CCUAGAGGAAGUCAAAGUUGUUCACUAUUGUGCAAACGGUUCAAAGCCCUGGAGGUAUACAGGAAAAGAAGAAAACAUGGAUAGAGAAGACAUAAAAUUGCUGGUAAACAAAUGGUUGGACAUAUAUAACGAUGAAUCCCUUGAUUACAAGCCUGAAGUUGAGGCUCAUCGUCGGAAGUUGCAACCUUUCAAGGCGGCGCUAUCGGAGGCUGGUGUUCUUCACUAUGUUUCCGCCCCAUCUGCUGCCUAGAACGAGCUCCCUAGUGGAUAUCCAUCUUCUUUUUUGUUGUACAAAUUUUUUGUUGAGGUUUCUUUUUGUUUGGCUUUUGUUUAUGUUUGUUAUGUAAAAAGAUGAACUAGAAAAUAGUCUCCCUUGAUAUCUCUUUCUCUUACUAUUCUGUAAGCUUUGGAAUUUGUGAAAAUAUUGUAAAAAUUAUGCGAGUAUGCAAGUAUGCAACUAUAUAUUAAUGAAAGGGGAAAAAAUGUCUUAUGGUUUA